AUGCCCAGAGGACGGCCGUGCAGCUGAACGCGGGGAUCGCCCUGGGCAAGCUGUGCACGGCGGAGCCCAGGUUUGUCGCUCGGCUGAGGGAGCUGCAUGGGAUGGAGAUUCUCAGCUCCACCAUGAAGUACGUGACUGAUUCUUAAGACGCGAGCAUCCCCGCAGCUGUCCAGCAUCACGGGGCUGGGGAGGGGGGCGUGCUAAUAAAGAGGAUUUGAUGGCCA
Suricata suricatta (meerkat) is the source of this 224-nucleotide long non-coding RNA. RefSeq lists it as uncharacterized. The record is from RefSeq and is a predicted model, not a curated record. The transcript is spliced from 2 exons. NCBI's taxonomy places the organism in Eukaryota, Metazoa, Chordata, Mammalia, Carnivora, Herpestidae.